Long non-coding RNA from Drosophila biarmipes, 902 nucleotides. RefSeq lists it as uncharacterized. The transcript has 3 exons. Lineage: Eukaryota; Metazoa; Arthropoda; Insecta; Diptera; Drosophilidae. The record is from RefSeq and is a predicted model, not a curated record.
GUCAACUCCCGCAGCAGAUCGCACUGCGAGGCCUUCGAUACAUAGGAUUUCUGGGAAUCUAUCUUCUUGGCGACCGACUUUUGAUCUGCUUUCUUGGCUUCCUUUACUGGAUUUUGAGGAGCUUUCUCGGGUUCGGCUGUUGAUCCCGCUUCUUUUGAGCUUUGACUGCGGGCGUUCUCUGUCUGGCACUGGCCGAAUCAGUCACCCUUGGUGUUUUUGGAAAGGAAUCCCCUCUCGCCUCCGGCGUGGUGGGCCUGGGUGGAUUGCUGUAGAAGGUGGGCUUCAGCAGGGGAUUCGUGCGGCGACAGCUGGCGCAGAAGUAUUUGUCGUAUCGGUCCCCUUCCUUUGGGUCCACGCCAAUGCACUCUCCAUGGAACCACACAUUGCAAUUAUCACAGGCACUGAAAAGGCUUUGGCAUACAAUGGAGUUCUAGGACAAAGAACCUAAACCACCUACAUCAUAAACACAUCGCCGUGGCUCUUGCGGCAGAUGCAAUAGACGACCUCCUCGGAUUCCGCAGCACGCUUUUUGCCCGUUGUUUGAUUAAUUGUGCACACACAACGUGUGCUCGUGCCGGGCAAAAAACGAGAUGGCUCCAUCACACUUUAAGGCCUCGGACAGCGGCAGAUGAAUACAAUUGCAUUUUGACCGCAGAACGACGGCCGGCUGACCUAAAAAAGCUUACGAUUGGCAGGUGCACAAAACGAAUAUUAAGGCUCAAAGGCAGCAGCACAAAAACCAGGAAAAAUAUUGUGUAAACAUGGCUUGCUCAAAGCCAGGAGGGUUGGGAUUUCAGGGGGAAAGGAGAUGGUUUCCACUCGAAUUGGGGAGGUUAUUCAAAGUUAAAAUUUUAGAUGACGGACAAAAAAUGUUGAAAAUAGUUUGGACUUAAAAAACAGCU